Long non-coding RNA from Hevea brasiliensis (rubber tree), 1376 nucleotides. RefSeq lists it as uncharacterized. The transcript is spliced from 2 exons. Lineage: Eukaryota; Viridiplantae; Streptophyta; Magnoliopsida; Malpighiales; Euphorbiaceae. The record is from RefSeq and is a predicted model, not a curated record.
AUAUUAUAACCAUAAAAUAUCAUUUUUUCAAGUGCUAAUAAAUAGCUUUUUCAUAAUUUAUAAUUCAUAAUUAGUAAUAGUAAUACUAACAGAUGCCUUUUUUGCUCACUUGGUUAAUUUUACUUCUGUUGAAGUUGAUUACAGUUUUAUGUUAUGAAACUCGAAUUGAUUUGAGCCUCUUAGAUAUAGAUAUGAUUAAUUUGCUAGCAACAACACAUUGAAAAUUGCAUUCAUAUUGUCAAGGUAAGCAGUCCAAUUGAACAUCUUUGAGUGGGCCAGAUUGAUCGAUGUUCGAGUCUAGCCCAAUAACCAAUAUUAUUUUAAAAAAAUAAUUAGAAUAAUAAACCAACCUAAUCCAACCCAGAAAAAAAAAAGCCCAAAUCCUAAGGAACCAUGGGUCUCUAGGCUAACGGUAUGGCCUUGAAUCCAUCUUUUUUAGCAACCAAACACCAAUUCCUCUAACUAGCAAAACUUCACCAACCUUCAACGGAGGAUUUGCAAGAUAGCUUGAAACUCCAGCAUGUCGGGAAAGCACAAGAUCUGAGGAACUGCAUUGUAACACUCUAAUUUUUUUUUAAAGAAAUAUAAAUAUGGUUGUUAUUAGAGAUAAAUAAUAAAUUUUAUAAUGUUUUGGGGAGAAAGUUAAAUUUGAAAUUGGAUUCAUAAAUGAGGAUUUGAAUUUUUUUGGUGUAAAAUGGACUUCUGGAAAGAUCAAGGAUCAAAUUGAACUUUUCCUCUUAAAGUGGGACAGCUGGCCACUCUCUCUGAUGGUCCAGCAUCUUUAUAAAAAAAAGCGCAAAAAGGAAGAAAGAAGAAUUGGCAAAGUGAAGGAAGAAAGGAACAGAAAGAAGGAAAGAAGAGGAAAAAGAAGAAGAAAGAAUGGCCGGAUUUUUAAGGUUUCUCUAGCAAGGAAGAACACCAGUAAGGGAAAGAGAGGGAGAGUGAUCGAAAAUAUAAGAAAUUAUAGAGAGAAAGGGAGAAAGAAGGAGAAUGGUGGCAGAAACAACGGUUGAUCAGGGUAGCAGAUAUUUCUCUUGUUCAGGCAACAGAUGGAUGUUAAUUUGAAGUUGACCUGUUUUCUUUCUCGCAAGGAAACUUAAACCAUUAAUGUAUUAACUUUAUUUAUUUUUGUUAUAUCUAGAACUCCGUAAUGACUGUAUUAGUUUCCCUUAUGAUAUAAAACUAACAUGUUAAAUUUAUUAUGUAUGUGGAAUGUUGGAUUUAGGACGAGUUGAGCUCCCUAUAGUAAUAUUAGUUAUGAUUGUGGAUUGUGAGGGUAAGCUGAGCUUCCCAAAUUGUGCAUUUUAUUAUAUUAUAAGUUGAGUGAGUUUUCCUCCUCGUUGGAUUAUCCAUGUUAUGGUUGGACUUUGUCUGUU